GCGUAGGGUACGUAGGCGGAUAGUUCGAAAUAGAGUAAAAGACUGAGGAUGACCCUCUUUAAUCUGUAUUGACCGACCAUCUGAGUUCUAGGGGCGAUAUAUUGAAUUCCUUAAGUAAGGGUUAAAUUGUUGAUAUUGGAAGACAUUCGAAGGCGGAAGCGAUAAUCGAUCUGGAUCUGACGCUAGGUACUAAAGUAUGGGUAUGAAAAGGAUUAGAGACCUUGUAGUCCAUACCUUAAACAAUGAGUGUUCAACGUCCUUAAGUACUUCAAUGACACACCUAAACUAUAUUUUUUUAGGAGGAUUUGAAUUGAGCUAAAGGGGGUUUAAAGCUAACGCGUGAAACACCGCCUGGGGAAUGUGGCCGCAAGGUUAAACUCAAAGGAAUUGACGGAGGCUUGUACAAGG
RNAcentral lists this ribosomal RNA (408 nucleotides) under Polyschismium granuliferum. RNAcentral describes it as "partial small subunit ribosomal RNA". It matches the Rfam family "Bacterial small subunit ribosomal RNA", at positions 558 to 930 of the family's 1533-position model. Lineage: Eukaryota; Evosea; Eumycetozoa; Physariida; Didymiaceae. The record is from RNAcentral.